RNAcentral lists this transfer RNA (106 nucleotides) under Sabatia angularis. Its description in RNAcentral is "partial tRNA-Leu". Lineage: Eukaryota; Viridiplantae; Streptophyta; Magnoliopsida; Gentianales; Gentianaceae. The record is from RNAcentral.
AAAAUCCGUCGACUUUAAAAAUCGUGAGGGUUCAAGUCCCUCUAUCCCCAAAUCCCCCAAAAAGCCUAUGUUUACUUCCCCGACCCUUUAUUCCCAUCCCCCCUUU